GGGCCUAUAGUUCAGUGGUAGAAUAUCGCACUCCAAACGCGCAGACCGAGGUUCGAGUCCUCGUGGGCCCGCAA
RNAcentral lists this transfer RNA (74 nucleotides) under Candidatus Yonathbacteria bacterium RIFCSPHIGHO2_01_FULL_44_41. RNAcentral's name for it is "tRNA-Trp". It matches the Rfam family "tRNA". From Rfam's summary of the family: Transfer RNA (tRNA) molecules are approximately 80 nucleotides in length. Their secondary structure includes four short double-helical elements and three loops (D, anti-codon, and T loops). Further hydrogen bonds mediate the characteristic L-shaped molecular structure. tRNAs have two regions of fundamental functional importance: the anti-codon, which is responsible for specific mRNA codon recognition, and the 3' end, to which the tRNAs corresponding amino acid is attached (by aminoacyl-tRNA synthetases). tRNAs cope with the degeneracy of the genetic code in two manners: having more than one tRNA (with a specific anti-codon) for a particular amino acid; and 'wobble' base-pairing, i.e. permitting non-standard base-pairing at the 3rd anti-codon position. Lineage: Bacteria; Candidatus Yonathiibacteriota. The record is from RNAcentral. RNAcentral also lists the same sequence under 4 other names.